Molecule: RNase P RNA, 316 nt
Filed under: Flavobacterium sp. LC2016-23
Lineage: Bacteria; Pseudomonadati; Bacteroidota; Flavobacteriia; Flavobacteriales; Flavobacteriaceae
Description: RNase P RNA component class A
Rfam family: Bacterial RNase P class A
About the family: Ribonuclease P (RNase P) is a ubiquitous endoribonuclease, found in archaea, bacteria and eukarya as well as chloroplasts and mitochondria. Its best characterised activity is the generation of mature 5'-ends of tRNAs by cleaving the 5'-leader elements of precursor-tRNAs.
Source: RNAcentral
CGCGCAGACCGCCUUAUCGUCGUCCGCCUCGGCGGAGGGAGGAAAGUCCGGACACCACAGAGAAGCAUAGCGGGUAACACCCGUCGGUCUUAGCAAUAAGGCAAGGACAAGUGCAACAGAAAGUAUGUACAGGUAAUGCUGUAGUGAAACCAGGUAAACUCUAUGCGGUGAAAUACCAAGUAUAUCAGCAUUUAAGGGCUUCUCGUUCGUUGCUGAAGGGUAGGUAGCUCGAGCUUAUGAGUAAUUGUAAGCCUAGAUAAAUGAUAAGGCUCUGAUUUAUCAGAGACAGAAUCCGGCUUAUAGGUCUGCAUUUUUU